This 468-nucleotide ribosomal RNA is filed under the name uncultured bacterium. RNAcentral's name for it is "SSU rRNA". It matches the Rfam family "Bacterial small subunit ribosomal RNA", at positions 26 to 518 of the family's 1533-position model. The record is from RNAcentral.
AGGACGAACGCUGGCGGCGUGCUUAACACAUGCAAGUCGAGCGGAAAGGCCCUUCGGGGUACUCGAGCGGCGAACGGGUGAGUAACACGUGAGUAAUCUGCCCCUAGCUCUGGGAUAGCUCCGGGAAACCGGGAUUAAUACCGGAUACGACCACUUUAGACAUCUGUUGUGGUGGAAAGAAUUUUGGCUAGGGAUGAGCUCGCGGCCUAUCAGCUUGUUGGUGGGGUAAUGGCCUACCAAGGCGACGACGGGUAGCCGGCCUGAGAGGGCGACCGGCCACACUGGGACUGAAACACGGUCCAGACUCCUACGGGAGGCAGCAGUGGGAAUUUUGCGCAAUGGGGGAAACCCUGACGCAGCAACGCCGCGUGGAGGAUGAAGCCCCUUGGGGCGUAAACUCCUUUCGAUCGGGAAGAUAAUGACGGUACCGAGAGAAGAAGCCCCGGCUAACUUCGUGCCAGCAGCCGC